RNAcentral lists this ribosomal RNA (403 nucleotides) under uncultured bacterium. RNAcentral describes it as "partial 16S ribosomal RNA". It matches the Rfam family "Bacterial small subunit ribosomal RNA", at positions 28 to 526 of the family's 1533-position model. The record is from RNAcentral.
GACGAACGCUGGCGGCGUGCCUAAUACAUGCAAGUCGAACGCAGUGGGGACGGGUGAGUAACACGUGGGUAACCUCCCAUCAGAGGGGAUAACACUUGGAAACAGGUGCUAAACCGAUACUGAUGGAUGGACCCGCGGUGCAUUAGCUAGUUGGUGAGGUAACGGCUCACCAAGGCCACGAUGCAUAGGCGAACUGGGGUGGUGAUCGGGCAAAAUGGGGAUGAGAACAGGCCCAAAAGCCUAAGGGAGGCAGCAGUAGGGAAUCUUCGGCAAUGGACGAAAGUCUGACCGAGCAACGCCGCGUGAGUGAAGAAGGUUUUCGGAUCGUAAAACUCUGUUGUUAGAGAAGCGGUAUCUAACCAGAAAGCCACGGCUAACUACGUGCCAGCAGCCGCGGUAAUAC